RNAcentral lists this ribosomal RNA (253 nucleotides) under uncultured bacterium. RNAcentral describes it as "partial 16S ribosomal RNA". It matches the Rfam family "Bacterial small subunit ribosomal RNA", at positions 524 to 776 of the family's 1533-position model. The record is from RNAcentral.
UACGAAGGGGGCUAGCGUUGCUCGGAAUCACUGGGCGUAAAGCGCACGUAGGCGGAUUUCUAAGUCAGGGGUGAAAUCCUGGAGCUCAACUCCAGAACUGCCUUCGAUACUGGGAGUCUCGAGUUCGGGAGAGGUGAGUGGAACUGCGAGUGUAGAGGUGAAAUUCGUAGAUAUUCGCAAGAACACCAGUGGCGAAGGCGGCUCACUGGCCCGAUACUGACGCUGAGGUGCGAAAGCGUGGGGAGCAAACAGG